GUGUCAGCCGCCGCGGUAAGACGGAGGAGGCAAGCGUUAUCCGGAAUUAUUGGGCGUAAAGGGUCCGCAGGUGGCUCGCUCAAGUCUGCUGUCAAAGACCGGGGCUUAACUCCGGAAAGGCAGUGGAAACUGACAAGCUAGAGGGCUCUAGGGGUAGAGGGAAUUCCCGGUGUAGCGGUGAAAUGCGUAGAGAUCGGGAAGAACAUCGGUGGCGAAAGCGCUCUACUGGAGAGCAACUGACACUCAGGGACGAAAGCUAGGGGAGCGAAUGGGAUGAGAUACCCCAGUAGUCCUAGCCGUAAACGAUGGAUACUAGGCGUGGCUCGUAUCGACCCGAGCCGUGCCGUAGCUAACGCGUUAAGUAUCCCGCCUGGGGAGUACGCACGCAAGUGUGAAACUCAAAGGAAUUGACGGGG
Molecule: ribosomal RNA, 416 nt
Filed under: uncultured prokaryote
Description: bacterial SSU rRNA
Rfam family: Bacterial small subunit ribosomal RNA
Source: RNAcentral